RNAcentral lists this ribosomal RNA (253 nucleotides) under uncultured prokaryote. RNAcentral's name for it is "partial 16S ribosomal RNA". It matches the Rfam family "Bacterial small subunit ribosomal RNA", at positions 525 to 777 of the family's 1533-position model. The record is from RNAcentral.
ACGGAGGGGGCUAGCGUUGUUCGGAAUUACUGGGCGUAAAGCGCACGUAGGCGGUUGCUCAAGUCAGAUGUGAAAGCCCCGAGCUUAACUCCGGAAUUUCCUUUGAAACUAGGUAACUUGAAUCCAGGAGAGGUGACUGGAAUUCCGAGUGUAGAGGUGAAAUUCGUAGAUAUUCGGAAGAACACCAGCGGCGAAGGCGGCUUGCUGGGCUGGCAUUGACGCUGAGGUGCGAAAGCCUGGGGAGCAAACAGGA